This 69-nucleotide transfer RNA is filed under the name Marmota monax (woodchuck). Its description in RNAcentral is "tRNA.Thr". The record is from RNAcentral. Lineage: Eukaryota; Metazoa; Chordata; Mammalia; Rodentia; Sciuridae.
GCUUGUGGCUUAGUGGUAGAGCACUCCCCUAGUGUGGGUGAGGCACUGGGUUCCAUCCUUAGCACCGCA